UACGUAGGGUGCGAGCGUUGCCCGGAUUUAUUGGGCGUAAAGAGCGUGUAGGCGGCCAAACAGGUCAGCUGUGAAAACUCGAGGCUCAACCUCGAGACGUCGGUUGAAACCGUUUGGCUAGAGUCCGGAAGAGGAGAGUGGAAUUCCCGGUGUAGCGGUGAAAUGCGUAGAGAUCAGGAGGAACACCCGUGGCGAAGGCGGCUCUCUGGGUCGGCCCUGACGCUGAGGCGCGAAAGCGUGGGGAGCGAACGGG
This 253-nucleotide ribosomal RNA is filed under the name uncultured bacterium. RNAcentral describes it as "partial 16S ribosomal RNA". It matches the Rfam family "Bacterial small subunit ribosomal RNA", at positions 524 to 776 of the family's 1533-position model. The record is from RNAcentral.